GGUUAAGCGACUAAGCGUACACGGUGGAUGCCCUGGCAGUCAGAGGCGAUGAAGGACGUGCUAAUCUGCGAUAAGCGUCGGUAAGGUGAUAUGAACCGUUAUAACCGGCGAUUUCCGAAUGGGGAAACCUAGUGUGUUUCGACACACUAUCAUUAACUGAAUCCAUAGGUUAAUGAGGCGAACCGGGGGAACUGAAACAUCUAAGUACCCCGAGGAAAAGAAAUCAACCGAGAUUCCCCCAGUAGCGGCGAGCGAACGGGGAGCAGCCCAGAGCCUGAAUCAGUGUGUGUGUUAGUGGAAGCGUCUGGAAAGGCGCGCGAUACAGGGUGACAGCCCCGUACACAAAAAUACACAU
This 355-nucleotide ribosomal RNA is filed under the name Escherichia coli. RNAcentral describes it as "partial 23S ribosomal RNA". It matches the Rfam family "Bacterial large subunit ribosomal RNA", at positions 1 to 392 of the family's 2925-position model. The record is from RNAcentral. Lineage: Bacteria; Pseudomonadati; Pseudomonadota; Gammaproteobacteria; Enterobacterales; Enterobacteriaceae.